UACGUAGGGUGCAAGCGUUUGUCCGGAAUUAUUGGGCGUAAAGAGCUCGUAGGUGGUCUGUCGCGUCGGCUGUGAAAACUCGGGGCUCAACCCCGAGCCUGCAGUCGAUACGGGCAGACUAGAGUGCUGUAGGGGAGACUGGAAUUCCUGGUGUAGCGGUGAAAUGCGCAGAUAUCAGGAGGAACACCGGUGGCGAAGGCGGGUCUCUGGGCAGUAACUGACGCUGGAGGAGCGAAAGCGUGGGGAGCGAACAGG
Molecule: ribosomal RNA, 255 nt
Filed under: uncultured bacterium
Lineage: Bacteria
Description: partial 16S ribosomal RNA
Rfam family: Bacterial small subunit ribosomal RNA
Source: RNAcentral